GAGGAAUCCAUACAUUAUUUAGAGGCGAGCAGGGAGUGCAGGUGAGAGACCCUCUUAGAGUUACAGAAAAUGAAGCAUUGUCUGCUGGAGAUGGAGAUGAAGGGGUAUGCUGUUCUCCUCCCCGUCCUCUCUUCGCUGCAGAGCUUCGCUGCUGGUCAUUGCUGCUAUCUACAACCAACAAAUAAAAUGCUUCUUGAAGGAUUGUUGAGAGGUGUAAUAUUGCAAAUUAUAAUUACAGCAAGUUUUACACCAUGUGUGGUUUCCUUCCAUUCCCCCUCUCCAUUGGUUUGGUCUUGAAAGAGGAGAACACAGAAUGCUGGGACAUUUUGUUGGCAACUUGGAGUUGGAGCACAUGACGUUAGGCCUUCUGUUUCCUAUACAAAAUGACGGCUCACUUUUGGAGAAGAUAUUAUUUUGAUAUUAUGUAGAAGGGGCAAAGAAGUGGUUGGCUAAGGUGGUAUUGUGUUCAGCCAUGCUCGCAGGGUUUGCAGCCCGUCACAACAAGGUGAGGAUGAUGACGAGCACUAAAUAACGUGCAUGUUUAUUUUUGGUUAUCUGAACAAAUCAUGUAUAAUAUGAUGUUUUUGAACAAUUUUUUAUUUAUAUAUUUUCAUUUUUUGAACAAUUUAUGAAUUUUUUAUUAAUUAUGAUUCAAUAUUAUGUGUGCAGAAAUUUAA
Malania oleifera is the source of this 677-nucleotide long non-coding RNA. RefSeq lists it as uncharacterized. The record is from RefSeq and is a predicted model, not a curated record. The transcript is spliced from 4 exons. NCBI's taxonomy places the organism in Eukaryota, Viridiplantae, Streptophyta, Magnoliopsida, Santalales, Ximeniaceae.